This 77-nucleotide transfer RNA is filed under the name Nevskiaceae bacterium. RNAcentral's name for it is "tRNA-Ile". It matches the Rfam family "tRNA". From Rfam's summary of the family: Transfer RNA (tRNA) molecules are approximately 80 nucleotides in length. The record is from RNAcentral. RNAcentral also lists the same sequence under 7 other names. Lineage: Bacteria; Pseudomonadati; Pseudomonadota; Gammaproteobacteria; Nevskiales; Nevskiaceae.
GGGUCUGUAGCUCAGUUAGUUAGAGCGCACCCCUGAUAAGGGUGAGGUCGCAGGUGCAACUCCUGCCAGACCCACCA